This is a non-coding RNA of Pelobates cultripes (western spadefoot toad), 540 nucleotides long. Lineage: Eukaryota; Metazoa; Chordata; Amphibia; Anura; Pelobatidae. The record is from the annotation of a GenBank genome assembly.
UGUGACUCUUGGAAACUGACUUCCUUUUAUUUAUGGAGCGUUUGAUAUCUUCUGGUUUGAGGACUAGUUUAGGCCAAAAAGAUGUUAGAAUCUUGGACACAAUAGGGGACAAUGGUACAGGAGACGUAGGAGUUGAAGCUGCCCAUUCCUCAGAGUCCCUAGCUGGAAUUAAUUAGUAAACCAAAUCCAUCUGAGGCAGUGGUUGUUGUGUAGAUGAUUUGGUAGCCUUUAGACUUUUCUGGGAAGAUUUAUUUGGUUCAACAAACUUUUCCAUAGUUCAGUGUAAUGCUUGGUUCACCAGCAUUAGAUAUAAGAUAAUUACAAUCCUUAGGAAGACUUAUACAGAAUCGUCAGGAAAUUGAGCCAAGCAGAUAGAUGAGACCCAGACCAGGAGAUAGUACCAAUGGAUGCCCUCCAUUUUAGUUAUGUAUUACCUUUGGUCAAAGUAAAACAAAACAAAAAAGCAUUUGCAGUUCAAUGAGGCAGCAUUCCUCCUGUUGGCCCCAUGGACUCAAAAGGGCAUAAGGUAUGCAUUGUGGC